Molecule: ribosomal RNA, 351 nt
Filed under: Triticum aestivum (bread wheat)
Lineage: Eukaryota; Viridiplantae; Streptophyta; Magnoliopsida; Poales; Poaceae
Description: partial small subunit ribosomal RNA
Source: RNAcentral
AUGGUGAUGACAUGGUACAUUAUUUCUUGCUCCCUCUACCCUGAUUCAUGGUUGAUCUUCUUGCUCUUCAGCAAGAAGUAUAUCCACUCCUACAGUUGUUUCCUUCUUUUCUACAUGGUGCUACUUUGCAUUGUCUGUAAGUGUAUAUCUGCUCCUACAGUGCAGUUGUGUAAAUCGAUUUCUAAUCCUUUGUCUAUUUACACUAGCAGGUUACUUCAAUCGUUUGAUGGAUUCUGCCAUACUAACAAAUGCUUAAUGUUGCUAUUUUGCCUUGAAUUUCAUAAUGCUAUUACAAGUAUUCAGUCAAUGGCAAAUCCUUACUCUCAAGUGGUUAUCUUUUACUUGAUUUAG